RNAcentral lists this long non-coding RNA (761 nucleotides) under Salarias fasciatus (jewelled blenny). RNAcentral describes it as "lncRNA (ENSSFAG00005013719.1)". The record is from RNAcentral. Lineage: Eukaryota; Metazoa; Chordata; Actinopteri; Blenniiformes; Blenniidae.
GUUUGAGGAUGUCCGAGAUGCAGAAGACGCUCUGCACAACCUGGACCGGAAAUGCGUUUGUGGACGCGAGAUCGAGAUCCAGUUUGCCCAGGGAGAUCGCAAAACCCCGAACCAGAUGAAAGCCAAGGAGCGCCAUUCCCCUCGUAGCUUCUCCCGCUAUGACGAUGAAAGGGACAACCGCCGGAGACGCUCCAGGAGCCGCAGUUAUGAUCGCCGCAGGUCCCGGAGUCCGUCUUUUGAGCGUCGUCCUCGAAGGUCCGAGAGUCCCAGAGACUCUCGGGCCUACGGUCGACACAGAUACCCCAGAGGCCACGAAAAUGAGAACAGGUACAGAGGUCCUCCCCGGGACCACCACAGGCCUCACCACGAACCGGCCUCUCGCAGCCGCUCUGCCUCGCGCUCCCCCUCACCCCCCAGGCCCACCAGACCCAAAGGCAAAAAGAGCCCGUCCAGGUCCCACAGCCCGGUCGAGGACUUCCAGCCCACCUCCAGCUCCCAGAAUCAGUUUGUGGGGCGAUCUCCGUCGCGCUCCAUGUCUCGCUCCAUGUCCCGAUCGCGGUCUCGCUCCAGAUCCUGGGCCGGACGCAAGUCUGGGGGCCACUAACUGGCUAGUUGUUCCUCCAGAAACCCCCAGCGUGCGUGUGUGUGUGUGUGUAUCUGAGGAUGUUUCUGUUCAGUCGAAAUAUAGUCUCUUUUACACAAAGGUUUGUUUCAUGGUUGUUACAGUAGAUGGGGCUGUGCUGCCGUUCAGACUGUUUUAG